GAGCUGAGGAGAGCCAGCCAGCUUGCAUCGGCGAAAAUUAUUACCACAUGGGCUGUUCUGCCCAAUGUCCCAUGCAUCCCCUCACUGACAACAGCUCCAGUAUCCUGGGAGAGGAGGAAACCCUUCAGGCCCACACAGGAGGUUGGGGCAGUGAGGCAGAGUGGUGAGCCUCCCUCACCUUUCGGGAGAUGGAUUGGGCCGCUAUCUGGGCAGCCUUGGUGGAAUGGGGCAAAAGUUGUCACCACACUGCCAUCAUCUUUCUGGACCUACUUGAUCAAUAAGCAUCAGCAGUUCGUUUAAAAAUAGGUCAGCCAACUCUGAUCAAUAUAAUGAUCCAUGACAAUUCCAAAGGACUCAUGAUGAAAAAUGCUAUCCACCUCCUGAG
This is a long non-coding RNA of Vombatus ursinus (common wombat), 385 nucleotides long. RefSeq lists it as uncharacterized. The record is from RefSeq and is a predicted model, not a curated record. The transcript is spliced from 3 exons. Lineage: Eukaryota; Metazoa; Chordata; Mammalia; Diprotodontia; Vombatidae.